This 771-nucleotide ribosomal RNA is filed under the name uncultured Planctomycetota bacterium. RNAcentral's name for it is "bacterial SSU rRNA". It matches the Rfam family "Bacterial small subunit ribosomal RNA", at positions 38 to 831 of the family's 1533-position model. The record is from RNAcentral. Lineage: Bacteria; Pseudomonadati; Planctomycetota.
GGCGGCAUGGAUUAGGCAUGCAAGUCGAGCGACAAGUUCUUCUUCGGAAGAAUGGAGGAGCGGCAAACGGGGUAGUUAUGCGUCGGUUACAAUCCCUCAGGACUGGGAUAGCUACGGGAAACUGUAGGUAAUACCGGAUAAUCUCUCAGGAGCAAAUAAUUUAUUGCCUGAGGACUGGCUGACGUGGUACUAGGUAGUUGGUGAGGUAACGGCUCACCAAGCCUACGAUGCCUAGGGGGUGUGAGAGCAUGGCCCCCACCACUGGGACUGAGACACUGCCCAGACAUCUACGGAUGGCUGCAGUCGAGAAUCUUCGGCAAUGGACGAAAGUCUGACCGAGCGAUGCCGCGUGCGGGAUGACGGCCCUUGGGUUGUAAACCGCUGUCAGAGGGGAUGAAAGCCUUCGGGUUUGACAGAGCCUCAGAGGAAGCACGGGCUAAGUACGUGCCAGCAGCCGCGGUAACACGUACUGUGCGAACGUUAUUCGGAAUCACUGGGCUUAAAGGGUGCGUAGGCGGCUAGAUUAGUAGGAUGUGAAAUCCCACAGCUCAACUGUGGAACUGCGUUCUAAACUGUCUAGCUUGAGUAAGAUAGGGGUAUACGGAACUUCCAGUGGAGCGGUGAAAUGUGUUGAUAUUGGAAGGAACACCGGUGGCGAAGGCGGUAUACUGGGUCUUUACUGACGCUGAGGCACGAAAGCUAGGGGAGCGAACGGGAUUAGAUACCCCGGUAGUCCUAGCUGUAAACGUUGAGUACUAGCUGGAGGGGACU